CUUCCAUCAGUCUCCUAGAAACCUGGUAGUGCUCUCAAAUUCAGUUUACGCUUGCAAGCAGUUGACGACGGUUCCCCACACUCCCGUAAUUUUUGGUCUGUUGAAUCUGUUCUUCUCACCCACCUAUAAAUAUGUCGUCUCAUCUAUCCAAUUAAUCUGAAUUGCCAAAUCAAAAGGAAAAAUUAGGUGAAUGAAGAUGGUAGACAUGUCCCAACGAUUGAAGGAGUGAGCAGGGGUCGAUUUAAUUGGUCUAGGGCCAUACCCAUGAGUUCAAGAUGUUCUUCCAAUUGUUAUUACAAAAAUCACCCCUAAAUUCAAUGAUUGAGUUCGAUUGGUCAUGCUUAAGGUUUCAUUAGAAAUGUUUGGAACCUUGAGCAGAAGAAACCAAAAUGAUUUUCUCCAAAGCCAAGGAAAUUGUUUCCUCAAAUCCCCUUAUCAUAUCCAGGGUAACUACAAAACAAAAUGAGGUAGAGAUGAAGGCUUUCACACCGUGACUAAACUUCAGGGACUAUUUUGGCAGUUUACUCUUUUUAUUAUAAAGUUUCUUUCUGAUUACUUAGACUACGGGUUGUGGAGGGGAUUGGGUUGGGGGCAUUGCUGGCGAGUGUGGGAUCCACAAUAUAAUAUUCAAAACAAGGGGUGUGCCCGGUGUGGUCUAGCCAGCGUUGCUUGGCAACCGCCGCCCCAACCCACGGUCUUAGUUCUGACUUUUGUACUGAGUGUUCGGUUACAUGUAAAAUUAUGGCUCCCAAAUGCUCAUUUGUUAUGGAAUGCUUUGCAGCAACAGCAAGUACAGAUAUAAAUCCUAGUGGAGAAAUUAUGGUUUUGGAUAGAUUUUCUCAUGUGCAUCUCAUUGCUAUAAGGAUCAUAUUGCUUUGGCCACCCUCAUGUAUAAGAACUUCAUGCAGUUCCACAGUUUCAUGGAGGUUGAACAUCUUCCGGUUAUUUCACCCUCACAACAUCAAAAGGAGAGUGUUGCUUGCCUUGCUGAGAGGAUUGGGAAUCAGCUCAUGGAAACUACAAUGAUCAUGUCAAUACACAUAGCUUUAAUUGUCUAUAAGCAUGUCGUUGAAAUAUGGAAGCUUAUUGAUGAAACUUGGACAAAGGUGUUUGCUCAUCCGGAUGUUGUGUGUAUAUCAUUGUCGGUGAAGUCAUUUUUUUCUAAUAUGUGAAUUCAAAUGGCAAAUGCCUUGUGAUACUAGAGUGGAGAGAUUUCUUUUGUCUACCAUUUACUUUUGCAUGAAAAUGAUGGUGAUACUAUUCAUAUUUCAGUAGUUUACCAAUUUUAUUAUUCCUUUACCAGUUUUAA
Molecule: long non-coding RNA, 1309 nt
Filed under: Helianthus annuus (common sunflower)
Lineage: Eukaryota; Viridiplantae; Streptophyta; Magnoliopsida; Asterales; Asteraceae
Source: RNAcentral